ACAAAAUUCAUUAUUACUAUUAUCAAGUGCAAGGACAGUUGCACAUAACGAAUAGACAAUGCGCUCUAUUCUGUUUAUGGACGCCGAAAGGAAUGAAAAUUAUAAAAGUGCCAAGAAAUGAUACAUUCUGGGCAACAGAGAUGGAGGAAAAACUGAGGAAGUUUUAUGAGGACUGCAUGUUGCCAGAAAUCAUAGAUAGUAGAUUCAAUCGACACCAGCCGAUUAGAGAACCACCGUAUAUAAAAACAGGAGGAGCAUGUACAAGUACACAAGUACAGAGUGACUAAUGCACCGACGAGUGCAUUCAGCUCAUAUGGAGAGCUGUCAAAGAAAAAAGUGCAACCCGAAGUCACUAAUGCACCGACGAGUGCAUUCAGCUCAUAUGGAGAGCUGUCAAACAAGAAAAUACAAUUCAAAGUGACUAAUGCACCGACGAGUGCAUUCAGCUCAUAUGGAGAGCUGUCAAACAAGCAAUUGCAAUCCACAGUCACUAAUGCACCGACGAGUGCAUUCAGCUCAUAUGGAGAGCUGUCAAACAAGCAAUUGCAAUCCACAGUCACUAAUGCACCGACGAGUGCAUUCAGCUCAUAUGGAGAGCUGUCGAAUAAUAGAAGUACAAAAUAAUGUAAGUACGUAAAAGAAUGUAACUAUGAAAGUAUUUGGAGAGUGAAGAGGACCGUCUAUGACGGGGGUGGUGGUGGGUCUCUUCACACUCUCCUAAUAAUUGAUACUUGCAGCUACGUUUCCUUUCUUUUCACAGGAAGAGUACAAUGUAUGACAGCUGACCAGUAUCAAUGGUGAAAAUCCUGUUCUAUGAAGGGAGGAAAGGAACCAGGUCUUCCCAAUGCAAGCAUAAAGAUAAGUAAAACACAUACAUUUACAAAUGUAUUGCAUGCAGAUUGAUUAGAACUGAUUAUAACUUUUCAUCGUAGGUUCAAUGAGAAUAUACUCUGUACACCAUUGCAAGAAAUUUUGGUGAGAAAUAGGAAAGUACGAGUGGAUUCAUCAGGAAGUAUCAGACCAGGGUGUACAGCAUGAUAGUUGAAGAUAUUCGGUAUCGUCUCAACCAAUUUGUA
This is a long non-coding RNA of Osmia bicornis bicornis, 1076 nucleotides long. RefSeq lists it as uncharacterized. The transcript is spliced from 3 exons. NCBI's taxonomy places the organism in Eukaryota, Metazoa, Arthropoda, Insecta, Hymenoptera, Megachilidae. The record is from RefSeq and is a predicted model, not a curated record.